UACUUUUUAUAUACAACACAAUAAUCAAUCAUACACAAUGUAAGACCAUAAAUUAAAAUUGUAAAAAUACAUUAACGCAAAAAAGAUACUUACAAAUAUCAAAUUAAUAAUUUAAAUGUUAUUAUCUCUAUAAUAGUAAAAUACAAAUGGUUAAUAUGGAUAUGUAUAGAAAUAUUUUCAAGAAUAAUCUCAAUCGUUAAGUCUUCUACAUGUUCUGAUCAAAUUGAAAAAAAAAACAAAUUUUAAGUGCACUUUAUCGCAAUUUUAAUCCUCUUUAUUUGGAGAUUGUAAUUUGUAAGUGCACUUUAAAUACAAUUUACAUCAACCUCAAUUCCUUGAAGUUCUUCUGCAUCGUGCAUGUAAUGCACUCAUAUUAUUAUUAGCAAGGUCUUUUACCUGAAAGGAGAAAUACAAUAAGUUAGCAAACGUUAUAUAAAAUCGUCAUCCAGUAAAAUUGAAGUCCAACGCUUUAUUCAAGAAGGAAAGGUAGUAGAGCUUAAUUGAUUGAUGGAAUUAAAAAAUUAACAUGUGUAUUAAAAAAAAUUAACAAAUUGUGUUUGACGGCUUACACAGAUUAAAAUGCACAUAUCUUAGCAUCAAAAGGCAAAAAAAUCUUCGAUCAAGCAUUUUUUUUUUUUNGGAUUAUUGCAAUCAAUAGCCUAGAAAACCUUAUAAUAAUUUUUUGCAAUUUACACAUAAUCAUUCACAAACAAAAGUAGAUAUGAUGACCGUAUGCGAACACAUAUGACAUUUCAAGAACUCCACCGGUAUAUAAAAUUUGUCAUGCUUAAACACAGAAAAGUGAGAGUGAGAGAGAAAUUUAAUGCUCCAAAUGCUAAAUGAUGGAACAACAAUAAAUAGAAAAUUUCUAGAUUUGUAGGAAGGAAAGAAUGAGUAAUGGAAACAAUGAAAUACAAAGAAUAAAUUUUUAAUAUUUCUCAAACAUUAAAAAUUGUAGAAAACGAACAAAUCUUAAUACAACAAAAGAGAAACUGAGGUCAAAGUAACUAUAUGCCAACCAUCCUAUCCAACAUGAAUUAUGAGAAUGAACCUCCUCAUGUACAUCACCAGUUGCCUGUUCGCAUAAAGCAUCAGUUAAACAGCAAACUCACAAAUUAGAUAAUACAAAUUGUUUAUGAAAUAUCCUACAUGAUAGUUUUUUGCUAACACAAUCAUAUCAUAAAAAUUAAUUUAUCACAAUAGGCAUAAAAAAAUGACGGUGGAGGAUUUAUUGGCAAAAAGAAAUUCAAUAAACAUUUGAGGCCUAUUAUAAGAAAAAAUCAACAUCAUUUCAAUAUCUCAAUCUAAUCGCAUCACUAUAUCAUCAAUAACUUUUAUCAAUGAAAAACAAAGAACAAAAUAGCAUGAAGAUUCGUCAGAAGAAUACACGUAUUAAGUUGCAAAGAUAAAAAAAAAAUCCACAGAUAAAAUUGAAAGCAUAAAACCUCAAAAAAUUGUGAAAAACCUCAAAAGUCCACCAAAAUUACUUGUAAACUUCACGUAAAACAUUAAAAUCUUAUAUUUAGCAAAAUCAAGAAAUUAAUCAAGAAUUUUAAAAAAUUAGAUAAAAUAUAAAAUAAAUAGAAGAUGCUUGAGAAAGAGGAGUACAAUGGUGGCAGUUCAGCUGGAUGGCGGCGGUCAAAUAGCACUGCAAGGCGCUAGACUGGUGCGGUGGUCACUGGCGAGGUCGCGACUCAAUAAUGUGGCUGAUGAAAUUCGAUCGAAGCGGCACUAACAAUAACGAUGUUCCAACUGUGGAUGACAAGUAACGGCAGCGAGCGGAGCCCGGAGAGGCCGAACAUGGGAGCGUGUGUCGCUCAAAGAAGUGAGAAGCAGCUGUGUUUUGGAGAAAGACAGAGUUGCAGUUGCGGAAAAAUUAUAAUGUAAUGGGUUGGUUUUUUUAGAGAAGAUAAUGGGUAGUUUGGUGAAGAAAAGGUAAUGGGUAGUUUGAAAAUAAUGGGUUGUUUAAAAUUUUAAGAGAAGAUAACUGACUAAUUAUCUCAAAGUAAUGGAAGUCAGCCACGUUUUUUCAAAUUGCAUAUGAUUAUUGGCGGUAAAAUGUUGCCGUUAGAACUGCUGCUUUAUAUAUAAUAUAGA
This 2097-nucleotide long non-coding RNA is filed under the name Salvia miltiorrhiza (redroot sage). RNAcentral's name for it is "long non-coding RNA (SMIL_LNC006221)". Lineage: Eukaryota; Viridiplantae; Streptophyta; Magnoliopsida; Lamiales; Lamiaceae. The record is from RNAcentral.